UCAAACUUGGUCAUUUAGAGGAAGUAAAAGUCGUAACAAGGUUUCCGUAGGUGAACCUGCGGAAGGAUCAUUAGAAAAUCCAGGAGUGUUUAACACUCUUGGGCACUUUUCUAACCACAAUGUUGACCAUUACCUCUGUUGCUUCCACAGUAAAGCAAUUUUUUUGCUCUACUGUGAAUGGAUUACAUCUAUAACCUUUGUAAAUAGUUAUGUAUUUGUCUGAUAAUGAAAAAUAAAAUGUUUUAAAACUUUCAACAACGGAUCUCUUGGCUCCUGCAUCGAUGAAGAACGCAGC
RNAcentral lists this unclassified non-coding RNA (295 nucleotides) under uncultured fungus. RNAcentral's name for it is "partial contains small subunit ribosomal RNA, internal transcribed spacer 1, and 5.8S ribosomal RNA". The stretch from base 1 to 73 matches the Rfam family "Eukaryotic small subunit ribosomal RNA", at positions 1759 to 1831 of the family's 1831-position model. The record is from RNAcentral. Lineage: Eukaryota; Fungi.